AGCGAGCAGUCUGCAAUACUGGUCGAAACGAAGAUUAAGGUACUCGUAGCUUGAGGUUAAUCUCAGCUUCAUGUAAACCGGCAGGUACAGACAGGAGGAUUCCCCAGAAGCUCAAUAGCUGUGAUGAAGCUGGCUGCCAGUGACAUUGCCAUAGGGAAUGUUCCCAUGCUCGAGCCACCGAGCAGGAAGUCUUGGCUGGUUUCCUGCUUCUUUGAGAAGAAGCCAUAGAAAGUGCCAAUCAGGCACGAAAUUAUCAACAUAGCAGCCAACACCAUAUAGUCGGCCCAUGAGAAGUAAUGGAGGAGAACAGGAUGGUCCUCCAUACAUUUUUCUUUUACAUCCUCGGACGGUCGCUGUUCCGCUGAAGAAAUCGCCAGGAAGAAGAAUAAUACCAAAACACGUGACCUCAUGUUUCGUGAGCUUGAACAGAGACAGAGAAUUCCCCUGUGGAUAUGAGUCGUGAAAAAUUUAGAAUUAGAAAUCUUGCAUUUAAUUGGAUCUUUCGAAUGAAACUGGAGGUCAGGAUAUUUUUGUAUAAAUCUCAUCUCUUAAUUUUGAAUAUCUGAUGUUUGGGAUAUUAAUUUAUUAUUUAGUCAUUGUAUCUUAUAUCUUCAUUUG
This is a long non-coding RNA of Frieseomelitta varia, 618 nucleotides long. RefSeq lists it as uncharacterized. The record is from RefSeq and is a predicted model, not a curated record. NCBI's taxonomy places the organism in Eukaryota, Metazoa, Arthropoda, Insecta, Hymenoptera, Apidae. The transcript is spliced from 2 exons.